GGAAGGUGUGUUACGAGCUUUUUAUAUUAAUUGAAGAAGAUCAAAAUUAAAUUGAAAAGCCCAUGAUAAGUAUGUUUUAUUGAGACCCCAUAUUUCUUUAUUUGUGACUAUUAAGUCCAAAUUUCAAGGCUCUUAAACACGUGUUCUACACUCAACGUUAAAUGCAUUUAAUGUUACUUGAGUUUGUUUAACUAGGAGAUAAAUUCAUGAUACCAAGUAUU
RNAcentral lists this unclassified non-coding RNA (221 nucleotides) under Hevea brasiliensis (rubber tree). The record is from RNAcentral. Lineage: Eukaryota; Viridiplantae; Streptophyta; Magnoliopsida; Malpighiales; Euphorbiaceae.